Molecule: ribosomal RNA, 132 nt
Filed under: uncultured Clostridium sp.
Lineage: Bacteria; Bacillati; Bacillota; Clostridia; Eubacteriales; Clostridiaceae
Description: partial 16S ribosomal RNA
Rfam family: Bacterial small subunit ribosomal RNA
Source: RNAcentral
GGGAAUAUUGCACAAUGGGCGAAAGCCUGAUGCAGCAACGCCGCGUGAGUGAUGAAGGUCUUCGGAUCGUAAAACUCUGUCUUAUGGGACGAUAAUGACGGUACCAUAGGAGGAAGCCACGGCUAACUACGU